Molecule: ribosomal RNA, 514 nt
Filed under: Anomala testaceipennis
Lineage: Eukaryota; Metazoa; Arthropoda; Insecta; Coleoptera; Scarabaeidae
Description: partial 16S ribosomal RNA
Rfam family: Bacterial large subunit ribosomal RNA
Source: RNAcentral
GUCUUUUUGAUUAUAAUUUAAAGUCUGACCUGCCCAAUGAGUAAUUGAAUGGCCGCGGUAAUUUGACCGUGCAAAGGUAGCAUAAUCAUUAGUUUUUUAAUUGAAAGCUGGAAUGAAUGGUUGGACGAGAAAAUAACUGUCUCAGUUUAAUUGAAUAUAGAAUUUUAUUUAUAAGUAAAAAAGCUUAUAUGAUUUUAAAAGACGAGAAGACCCUAUAGAGUUUUAUAUUUUUACAUAUUAAUUAAGUUUAGUAUAUUUCUAUUUUAAAUUUGUAAAAAUAUUUUGCUGGGGCAGCAGAAAAAUUGAAUAAACUUUUUUUAUUAUUGAAACAUUAAUUUAUGGUUUAAUGAUCCAUUUUUUAUGAUUAUAAGAUUAAAUUACCUUAGGGAUAACAGCGUAAUUUUUUUUUAGAGUUCUUAUCGAAAAAAGAGUUUGCGACCUCGAUGUUGGAUUAAAAUUAACUUUUGGUGUAGGGGCUAAAAGGUUAGGUCUGUUCGACCUUUAAAAUUUUACA